AGCACGGACCUUUAAAAUAUGUCCUUGUGAGUUUCAAAACUUCCCUUUUCCCUUAGCAUAGAAAAGAGCACACAUUUGAUUUCCCAAUGGAUAGAACGUGGUUACAAGAUUGACUUCAAUUGAUUAAAUGAGAUAGCUUCUCCCACCACCCCUGCUGAAACCAGAGACCUACCAUUUAUCAUCAGAAAUGUAACAAAGGAACAUGCUGAACCAUUAGUAAAUGAAGCACGCUGAUUUUAAGUAUGGGGAGUUAAGGAGGCAGAAAGAAUUGCUUUUGCCGCUGGAGACCAUUACUGCUACAUUAAAGCCACAAUCCCAUACACACUUA
Molecule: long non-coding RNA, 328 nt
Organism: Podarcis raffonei (Aeolian wall lizard)
Lineage: Eukaryota; Metazoa; Chordata; Lepidosauria; Squamata; Lacertidae
Exons: 2
Source: RefSeq, a predicted model, not a curated record